RNAcentral lists this ribosomal RNA (993 nucleotides) under Leuconostoc mesenteroides subsp. jonggajibkimchii. Its description in RNAcentral is "bacterial SSU rRNA". The record is from RNAcentral. Lineage: Bacteria; Bacillati; Bacillota; Bacilli; Lactobacillales; Lactobacillaceae.
GCGGGUAACGCUGUGACGACGUACGUGUCUGCAGUCGACGCACAGCGCAUGGAUGCUUGCACCUUUCAAGUGAGUGGCGAACGGGUGAGUAACACGUGGACAACCUGCCUCAAGGCUGGGGAUAACAUUUGGAAACAGAUGCUAAUACCGAAUAAAACUUAGUGUCGCAUGACAAAAAGUUAAAAGGCGCUUCGGCGUCACCUAGAGAUGGAUCCGCGGUGCAUUAGUUAGUUGGUGGGGUAAAGGCCUACCAAGACAAUGAUGCAUAGCCGAGUUGAGAGACUGAUCGGCCACAUUGGGACUGAGACACGGCCCAAACUCCUACGGGAGGCUGCAGUAGGGAAUCUUCCACAAUGGGCGAAAGCCUGAUGGAGCAACGCCGCGUGUGUGAUGAAGGCUUUCGGGUCGUAAAGCACUGUUGUAUGGGAAGAACAGCUAGAAUAGGAAAUGAUUUUAGUUUGACGGUACCAUACCAGAAAGGGACGGCUAAAUACGUGCCAGCAGCCGCGGUAAUACGUAUGUCCCGAGCGUUAUCCGGAUUUAUUGGGCGUAAAGCGAGCGCAGACGGUUUAUUAAGUCUGAUGUGAAAGCCCGGAGCUCAACUCCGGAAUGGCAUUGGAAACUGGUUAACUUGAGUGCAGUAGAGGUAAGUGGAACUCCAUGUGUAGCGGUGGAAUGCGUAGAUAUAUGGAAGAACACCAGUGGCGAAGGCGGCUUACUGGACUGCAACUGACGUUGAGGCUCGAAGUGUGGGUAGCAAACAGGAUUAGAUACCCUGGUAGUCCACACCGUAAACGAUGACMCUAGGUGUAGGAGGUUCCGCCUCUAGUGCCGAAGCUACGCAUAGUGUCCGCCUGGGGAGUACGACGCAAGUGAACUCAAGAUGACGGGACCGCACAGCGGGUGGAGCAUGGGAUAUUCGAGCACGGAGACCUACCAGGCCUGACAUCAUGAGCUAAGAUGACGGUUCUCUUCGGAACAUAGGACAGGGCU